Molecule: transfer RNA, 74 nt
Filed under: Verrucomicrobiaceae bacterium
Lineage: Bacteria; Pseudomonadati; Verrucomicrobiota; Verrucomicrobiia; Verrucomicrobiales; Verrucomicrobiaceae
Description: tRNA-Gly
Rfam family: tRNA
About the family: Transfer RNA (tRNA) molecules are approximately 80 nucleotides in length.
Source: RNAcentral
GCGGCCAUCGUUCAAGAGCAGGACCCCUGGCUUCCAACCAGGAGAUGCCGGUGCGAUUCCGGCUGGCCGCUCCA